RNAcentral lists this transfer RNA (85 nucleotides) under Claviceps africana. It matches the Rfam family "tRNA". Rfam says of the family: Transfer RNA (tRNA) molecules are approximately 80 nucleotides in length. Their secondary structure includes four short double-helical elements and three loops (D, anti-codon, and T loops). Lineage: Eukaryota; Fungi; Ascomycota; Sordariomycetes; Hypocreales; Clavicipitaceae. The record is from Rfam by way of RNAcentral.
GGGCGAAUGGUUUAGUGGUAUAAUACUCCCUUAGCAUGGUUUUCACAUCUGGGAGUGGUCCAGGGUUCGAUUCCCUGUUCGUCCA